RNAcentral lists this long non-coding RNA (3589 nucleotides) under Lynx pardinus (Iberian lynx). Lineage: Eukaryota; Metazoa; Chordata; Mammalia; Carnivora; Felidae. The record is from RNAcentral.
AAGAAGCCUCCUGCUGGAUUAAGGAAACUGUGAACAGUUGCCUGCUCCAGAGCUACACCACCUCUGCUGUGCUUUGUGUUGGCAAAAGUGGGUACCUCCUGUGCUCCCUCUCUCCCCAUGUAACUCGGUUCUGGGCAAAAGUCUCAAGUGAGUGCAUCUGAUUGACUGGACCAGUCAUAUCUGGAAUCCUAGCUGCAAGGGAGGUUGGGAAAUCAUAGUGUUUAACUUUACUGCCUCUGUAGUACAAUAAGGCAUGUUUAAAUCUGCUGAGUGAAACAAUCCACCUCGUAAUUUUACAUUCUUUCUCUUAACAUUAAUAAUUUUUAUAACUUUUAGUCCUCGUUUUACAAAAUUUUUAUUUAUUAAAAAAAUUUUUUUUUAAUGUUUAUUUAUUUUUGAGACAAUGCGAGAGACAGAGUGUAAGCAGCGGAGGGGCAGACAGAGGGAGACACAGAAUCCGAAGUGGGCUCCAGGCUCUGAGUUGUCAGCCCAAAGCCCGACGCGGGGCUCGAACUCACAAACUGUGAGAUCAUGACCUGAGCCGAAGUCAGACGCUUAACCGACUGAGCCACUCAGGCGCUCUCGUUUUACAAAAUUUUUAAACAAUCACUGUAUAUUCCAAAGAUACCUAAGAUUUUUUCUUCUCUUAAAUCACGGAUCCCAAAAUUAAAUAUAGCAAUCCAGGAAAGUUCUGCUUACAUACAGAUUUAAAAAACACAUAAAAAUCACUCAAUAGAAUAAUGCUGUGUUUCUUUAGAGAUGGAGAAGGAUUCCUAUCUCUGUUGUUUAAAUUGUAGGAAACAUUAAAAAAUGAUCUGGCAUAUUCUUUUGUUGAUGACUGUGUGACGAGAAACUAAUAAGACAGCUAUUCACCUAGGCUAAACUUUUUUAGAUGGUGGACUGGGGUUCAAUCAGAAAGUAAUUAGAAACAACAAUAUUGUACUAUGAUUAUGUAAUGUGAUAAAUAUGGAUACAGGGCACUCAUGACAAUAUAUAAAUAUAUCAAAGUAAUAUGUUGUACACCUUACAUUUACACAAUGUUGUAUAUCAAAUACAUUCAAUUAAAAAAAUAAUUGGGGAGAGGGGUGCCUGGGUGGCUUAGUCACUUAAGCAUCCCACUUGAUCUCAGCUUGGGUCUGAAUCUCAGGGCCGUGUGUUCAGGACCCAUGCCGAACAUGAAGCCAACUUAAAAUAUAAUAAUAAUAAGGGGCACCUGGGUGGGUCAGUCGGCUAAGCGUCUGACUUCGGCUUAGGUCAUGACCUCAUGGUUGGUGAGUUCAAGCCCCAUGCAGGCUCUGUGCUGACAGUUCAAAGCCUGGAGCCUGCUUCAGGUUCUGUGUCUCCUUCUCUCUCUCUGCCCCUCCCCUGCUUUCACUCUGUCUCUCUCUCUCUCUCUCUCUCUCUCUCUCUCUCAAAAAUAAAUAAAAACAUUUAAAAAAAUAACUGGAUGAGAAUUUAGAGAAGUUUCUUAAAAUGAUUUUUUGGCAUGGGUAAUAAAGGGUGGAUAUUACUGUAGAUCUACCUCACAGUUUCCAGCAAAUUAUUAUAAUUUAUAUUAAAAAAGGAUUAUUAGCUCAAGAUUAUUUAUGGACUUAAGGAAUUCCACUUCUUAUACGUACGAGUGAGUGAAUACGCACUUAUGAGUGAAUAUUGCUUCUUAAAGAGUUUCUUUUUUUUUUUUAAAUUUUUUUUUCAACGUUUAUUUAUUUUUGGGACAGAGAGAGACAGAGCAUGAACGGGGGAGGGGCAGAGAGAGAGGGAGACACAGAAUCGGAAACAGGCUCCAGGCUCUGAGCCAUCAGCCCAGAGCCCGACGCGGGGCUCGAACUCACAGACCGCGAGAUCGUGACCUGGCUGAAGUCGGACGCUUAACCGACUGCGCCACCCAGGCGCCCCGCUUCUUAAAGAGUUUCUAAUAGUAUUCUUUCCAGCUCUGUUAGAAAGUAUUGGUCCUGUGUUUAUAUCAUUCUUCUUAAUACUUUUUAGGUAUGUAGUAGUCUUUGGUUUAACUGACUUAGUGGUAUGUAUUUGUAAUUUGGGUUUUUGUUUCACAUAUGAAUUUUCAUGAAGCAUAUAAAUUUUAUAGUAUACUUUGGUAUGUAUAAUUAAAAUUAGAUUUUAAAGGAUGAUACUUUGUGAUAGAAUGAUAGAAUAGGAUAGAGGAUAGAUACUUUAUGAUAGGAUGAUAGAAUACUUGACUCUUGCUAAAAGAAACUGUAAUUUAGGAGUAAUGCUAAAAAAACUCUUUUGAGAUAUGGCUCUACAUUUUUUUAACCAAAAUGUGUUUACAACAGCAUUCUUUUCUAUGCUAACUGAACAGAUUUGUAUGACCAAAGCCUAAACGCACAUCUGCUUUUCACAUGAAGAAAAUUAUAAAGAAAAUUUUGGUAUUUUGUGAGAAUGUCAUUUUUUUUUAAAUGUUCAUUUAUUUUUGAGAGCGAGAACGCAAGUGGGGGAGGGGCAGAGAGAGGGGUGGACAGAGGAUCUGAAGCAGGCUCUGCCCUGACAGCAGAGAGCCUGAUGCAGGGCUCGAACCCAUGAACUGCGAACUGUGAGAUCAUGACCUGAGCCUAAGUCAGACGCUCAACUAACUGAGCCACUUAGGCACCCCAAGAAUAUGAUUUUUAAGACAGCCUAGUUAAUAAAAGAGGGGGUGAGAAAUGUAUUUUCUUUAGGAAGAAAUUUUGACAAGCCUAAUUUUGGUUAGUGCCUAAUAUUUAAUCUUUGUUUUAUAGAUAUACAGUACAAUGAAGAAGAAAUUGAAAAAGAGCCAGAGUUAGACGAUGACCUUCUUCUUUUUCAUGCGAGAUUUUAAUUCCCUGCAGAGGCUGCUAAAGAAGUCCACUGUCACCCUUAACCACCGAUGCCUCAACUUCAAUUCAUUUUGUUUUUUGAACUGAGAGACUAAGCUGUAUUGAGUAAAAUGGAAAGUGUACAUUUUUGUUUCCUGUGGGUGAGAUAAUGAAAGAUUAUGACAACUUGCUUUCAAGUUGUGAGAUUUGAGGGAAAUCAAGGUCUUUUCCUUCCUUUUUUUCAUACAAUAUCAUUGCAGGAUUCCAGUCUUUCCUUACUCAUGUUUUAAUUUAUUUUCUACAUGAAUAGUUAGCUAUGGAUUAGUAUUCAUUUCUUAGACAAUCCAAGAACUUAGCCAGAACAAGCAGCAGCAGUAAGUGUUAAAGACAUCAAAUUGAAAAAUUUAGAUUUAUGGUUGCUAGCACUGCCAACCUGUUUACUGAGAAAAAAGCAAAACAAAAUAAAACCAAUAAAACCUCUGAUUUAAUUUAAGAAUUUAGAUUUUUUUUCGACAUAUUGCCUAUAGAAUGUAGAAAAAACCCCUACAUUUCAUGUUCACAGAUGUCUAUAAUUUUCUUUGCACAGCUUUUAGUUUACAUUUUGCUUGACAUUAGUAUAUUCUUUAAAAAGAAUUUUUUGUAAGUUUAUUUAUUUUGAAAGAGACAGGGACAGCACGAGCAGGGGAGGGACAGAGAGAGAGAAUCCCAAGCAGGUUCUAUGCUGCCAGCUGCAGAGCCCAUUGCUGGGCUCCAACCCAUGAACUGUGAGAUCAUGACCCGAGCCAAAACCAAGAGUC